AGUGAACGCUGGCGGUAGGCCUAACACAUGCAAGUCGAACGGCAGCACAGUAAGAGCUUGCUCUUACGGGUGGCGAGUGGCGGACGGGUGAGGAAUACAUCGGAAUCUACUUUUUCGUGGGGGAUAACGUAGGGAAACUUACGCUAAUACCGCAUACGACCUACGGGUGAAAGCAGGGGAUCUUCGGACCUUGCGCGAUUGAAUGAGCCGAUGUCGGAUUAGCUAGUUGGCGGGGUAAAGGCCCACCAAGGCGACGAUCCGUAGCUGGUCUGAGAGGAUGAUCAGCCACACUGGAACUGAGACACGGUCCAGACUCCAACGGGAGGCGGCAGUGGGAAAUAUUGGACAAUGAGCGCAAGCCUGAUCCAGCCCUACCGCGUGGGUGAAGAAGGCCUUCGGGUUGUAAAGCCCUUUUGUUGGGAAAGAAGAGCAGCAGGUUAAUACCCCGCUGUUCUGACGGUACCCGAAGAAUAAGCACCGGCUAACUUCGUG
Molecule: ribosomal RNA, 492 nt
Filed under: uncultured bacterium
Lineage: Bacteria
Description: partial 16S ribosomal RNA
Rfam family: Bacterial small subunit ribosomal RNA
Source: RNAcentral